This 490-nucleotide ribosomal RNA is filed under the name uncultured bacterium. Its description in RNAcentral is "partial 16S ribosomal RNA". It matches the Rfam family "Bacterial small subunit ribosomal RNA", at positions 29 to 507 of the family's 1533-position model. The record is from RNAcentral.
AGUGAACGCUGGCGGCAGGCCUAAUACAUGCAAGUCGAACGGCAGCACAGUGUAGCUUGCUCCAUGGGUGGCGAGUGGCGGACGUGUGAGGAAUACAUUGGAAUCUGCCCAGUCGUGGGGGAUAACGUAGGGAAACUUACGCUAAUACCGCAUGCGCCCUUCGGGGGAAAGCCGGGGACCUUCUUUCCUUUCUCGUUUGGAUGAGCCCAUGUUCGAUUAGCUAGUUGGCGGGGUAAAGGCCCACCAAGGCGACGAUCGAUAGCUGGUCUGAGAGGAUGAUCAGACAAAGGGGAACUGAGACACGGACCAGACUAAUACGGGAGGUAGCAGAAGGGAAUAUUGGACAAUGGGGGCAAGCAUGAUCCAGCCAUGCCGCGUGAGAGAAGAAGGACCUAGGGUUGUAAAGCUCUUUUGUCCGGGAAGAAAAGCAUCGGGCUAAUACCUCGGUGUACUGACGGUACCGGAAGAAUAAGCACCGGCUAACUUCGUG